This 1308-nucleotide long non-coding RNA is filed under the name Canis lupus familiaris (dog). RNAcentral's name for it is "lncRNA (ENSCAFG00040002379.1)". The record is from RNAcentral. Lineage: Eukaryota; Metazoa; Chordata; Mammalia; Carnivora; Canidae.
GGCGCGCCCCGAGCGCCCGCGGAGAGGCAGAGGCAGCCACGGCCGGGGCCCACCCGCGCCGGGCAGCGCCUCGGGGCCGCGGACGCCCUCCCGGCCGGGCCGAGCCGCGGGCGCGUACAAAGGGCCGAGCUCCUGCCCUCUAGGGGCGCGGGCAACUCCUGGGGGCGGGCGGGCGCGUCUCGGGGCCGCCGCGGCGAAGACCCCCGCAGAGCGCAAAGUAGGCUUUCUUCGAGAUUUCCAGAAAGGACGGGCGAAGGCGGCGGGUCUGGGGAAGAGCGGGCCGGGCUUCGGGGCCCCGGGGCCCGGGCCCCAACUUGGCCGCGGCCUGCCCCGCCCGCUCCGGCGCGCGAGGCGGGGGCGGGGGCGGGGGCGGGGGAGGCGACAGCGCCCCGCAGCGACAGUGCCCCCGGCGCGGUGCCCUCUGCCGCCCGCCGCCCCCGGCCCCGCGCCCCCGGCCCCGCGCCCCCGCGCCCCCGGCCCCGCCUGCGGCCGCCGCGCCCCCGGGCGCGCUCGGGUUUCUCGGGUUUCUCCAGCCAUCUUGUCCCAUUUCCCUUUCUCCGCGGCCCCGCGCCCGCAGCGCUCCCGCCGCCCCCGGCCCCCACCCGGCUCGGCCCUUCUCGCCGCCCGGCCCCCUCCCCGGCCCCGCGCACCUGCCGGGCGGCGGGAGCCGGCGCCGCCUGCCACCCGGGCGGGCCCGCAACAAAGGCGGCGGCGCCCGCCGCGGCUCCAGCCCCGCGCCCCCGCCCCCGCCGGCGCCGGAACGCCCCGGAGCCGCGGGAAGGGCCGCGCCGCCCCGCGCCCGCCGCCCGCCGCCCGCCGCCCGCCGCCCGCGCACUCACCGAGCGGCCGGGCGCCGGCCGGGGCCGCGGGGGGACGCCGAGGGCUCCGAGCCGGCUGUCACAGCGCCAUCCCGGCCGCCUCUCCGGCUUCCCGUGCGCGCGGCCCCUCGGGAGGGAGCGGGGAGGACACGUGGUGGGAGGAGGAGGGUCCGGCCGCGAGCUGAGGGUGUUGGGAGGCGAGGGGAGGAGCGCGGCUGAUGUCAGCGGGCUCGGCGGCGCCGGCUCCGGACACUCCUCCCCGCGCGGUUUCCGGCAGUCGCCGCCGCACGGUCCUCCCUGCCGAGCCCGGGACCGUCCUCGGGUCCCCCGGCCGGCCUGGCCGCCGCGCCCCCGCGCCCCCGCGCCCCCGGCCUCCCGGCCCCGGCCCCCGCCCCCACCCCCGCCCCGGGGACCGUCGGCUUCGAGCGCUCAGGGCGCCCUCCGCGGGCAGCAGGCGGGAAGGGCCCGGCUCUGCUUUAACCGCGCGUGA